UACGUAGGGUGCAAGCGUUGUCCGGAUUUAUUGGGCGUAAAGGGCUCGUAGGCGGUCUAUCGCGUCGGUUGUGAAAAGCUGGGGCUCAACCCCAGUCCUGCUUUCGAUACGGGUGGACUAGAGGCAGGCAGGGGAGAGCGGAAUUCCUGGUGUAGCGGUGAAAUGCGCAGAUAUCAGGAGGAACACCGGUGGCGAAGGCGGUUCUCUGGGCCUUGCCUGACGCUGAGGAGCGAAAGCGUGGGGAGCAAACAGG
This 253-nucleotide ribosomal RNA is filed under the name uncultured bacterium. Its description in RNAcentral is "partial 16S ribosomal RNA". It matches the Rfam family "Bacterial small subunit ribosomal RNA", at positions 524 to 776 of the family's 1533-position model. The record is from RNAcentral.